GAUGAACGCUGGCGGCGUGCUUAACACAUGCGAGUCGAACGGAAAGGCUCCUGCUUGCAGGGGUACUCGAGUGGCGAACGGGUGAGUAACACGUGGGUGAUCUGCCCUGCACUUCGGGAUAAGCCUGGGAAACUGGGUCUAAUACCGGAUAGGACCACAUUUUGGAUGGUGUGGUGGAAAGUUUUUCGGUGUGGGAUGAGCUCGCGGCCUAUCAGCUUGUUGGUGGGGUAAUGGCCUACCAAGGCGUCGACGGGUAGCCGGCCUGAGAGGGUGUACGGCCACAUUGGGACUGAGAUACGGCCCAGACUCCUACGGGAGGCAGCAGUGGGGAAUAUUGCACAAUGGGCGCAAGCCUGAUGCAGCGACGCCGCGUGGGGGAUGACGGCCUUCGGGUGGUAAACUCCUUUCGCUAGGGACGAAGCGCAAGUGACGGUACCUGGAGAAGAAGCACCGGCUAACUACGU
RNAcentral lists this ribosomal RNA (464 nucleotides) under uncultured bacterium. RNAcentral describes it as "partial 16S ribosomal RNA". It matches the Rfam family "Bacterial small subunit ribosomal RNA", at positions 28 to 506 of the family's 1533-position model. The record is from RNAcentral.